Molecule: ribosomal RNA, 240 nt
Filed under: uncultured bacterium
Lineage: Bacteria
Description: partial 16S ribosomal RNA
Rfam family: Bacterial small subunit ribosomal RNA
Source: RNAcentral
CGGCGGACGGGUGAGUAACGCGUGGGUAACCUACCCUGUACACACGGAUAACAUACCGAAAGGUAUGCUAAUACGGGAUAAUAUAUUUCCGAGAGGCAUCUCUUGAAUAUCAAAGGUGAGCCAGUACAGGAUGGACCCGCGUCUGAUUAGCCAGUUGGUAAGGUAACGGCUUACCAAGGCGACGAUCAGUAGCCGACCUGAGAGGGUGAUCGGCCACAUUGGAACUGAGACACGGUCCAA